UACGUAGGGUGCAAGCGUUGUCCGGAAUUAUUGGGCGUAAAGAGCUCGUAGGCGGUUUGUCGCGUCUGCUGUGAAAACCCGAGGCUCAACCUCGGGCCUGCAGUGGGUACGGGCAGACUAGAGUGCGGUAGGGGAGACUGGAAUUCCUGGUGUAGCGGUGAAAUGCGCAGAUAUCAGGAGGAACACCGGUGGCGAAGGCGGGUCUCUGGGCCGUAACUGACGCUGAGGAGCGAAAGCCAGGGGAGCAAACGGG
RNAcentral lists this ribosomal RNA (253 nucleotides) under uncultured bacterium. RNAcentral's name for it is "partial 16S ribosomal RNA". It matches the Rfam family "Bacterial small subunit ribosomal RNA", at positions 524 to 776 of the family's 1533-position model. The record is from RNAcentral.